AAAUGAGCAGCCUUUCAAAAGUAAUUUUACUAACUCAAUUUAUAAAAACAUCAAUUUCUAGAAAGCAAAAGACUGCAGGUUCUGAUUAUGCCUUUUUUCUCUUAUGUUACAGAAUGGAAAAGACUCCUGCAACUUGAUGACCACUUUGUGCAGAGAGACUCGUUUUCAAUAGAGCCAACCUCCAAGAAGUCACAGGAUUUGUUCCCAGCACUGGCCAACCAAUCUGGUCUCAAGAUAACAGAUAUUAAGAAAGGUGAGGACUGUAUCUUCGAUGGCCGCACAAUACGGAUUAUCAGGCAAGCUAGGCUGACUGCAUGAGCCUGCAUGACUACACUGGAAAGGUCAUGCCCUGCUCCUUGACCCGAAUAAGCCCUUGGUCUGUGCACCAGUGCAACUCCAUGGUAAGAGAGAAGCGACCACUUACAUUGCUGACUACGUGGGUCACACAUCUGGCUGCAGGACUUUGUGUGAAAUGCAGACUUUCUCGCUAAGGAUGGGAGUCAGGUCUAAUUACUUAGGAAUAGAAAGAGAAAAAGAAAAAAAAACUGCAAAAAACCCUGGGUUUUUUGGAAUGGAAUGCCUAUUUACCUGAUCGGCUUGGGUCCAACAUGCUGAGAAACUUCUCAUGUGAAUGGUGGUCAAGGAGGAGGAAUAUGAAAUGGCUUUUCUCGGCUCUGCGGCUGCUUGUGCCUGAUUCAGGGGCAUCUGUUCUUGACCCUGUAGACAGAGCAUCUGAUUUUAACCCAUCUUCCCUCAGCUUGAUAAAAGGGAAAGCCAUGAGAAGAAUUUGAAAUUAGCAACAAUUUUUGGCCCCUCAUUAACUUAACGGCUGCAGUAUUGUGCCUCCAGUAUUCCACAAAGCACAGUGAAUGACUGAACUUGGUAUGUUAUUAAUCAAGGCACACAUUUUUAUUGAGAAUUUUCUAUGGUCUCAACACUGGGAUUUUAGUAAGAGGUGAUAAAAAAAAGAUAUGUUCUCUGGUAGGGCACAUUAAUUGAUUCAUCAAAUAUUUCUUGGGAUUUACUCUUUUGCCAAGUACUCUAGGGAAAACACAGGGGUUUAAUGUAAGAUGUUUAAUUAUAAGAUAUCAUAUAUCUUAUAUUGGUGGAUACCUAAGAUUUCUUUUCUGAAUGAAACAAAAAUAUUUUAUUUUUGAUGUUAAAAUUUUCUUUUCUGUGCAUAAUUUUCAUGCUCUUUUAUUAUGAGAAAUUCAUCUCUCUAAAGAUGUAGUAAAACUGAGUGCGUGGGAUGUGUCGUCAUCAGACGCCACACGGAUUAAUUUUGAAGAUGUAACAGUCUUUAAAAAUUUUCUCAUUGGUAAUGAAGAAAUGGGUUUUAAUACCAGAUGGUACAGCACCAAGAGGAAUGUAUUUGUAAUAGCUCCAAGUUAGUACUAGAACAAAAAUUGAAGUCAUG
This is a long non-coding RNA of Ailuropoda melanoleuca (giant panda), 1417 nucleotides long. Ensembl lists it as uncharacterized. The record is from Ensembl. Lineage: Eukaryota; Metazoa; Chordata; Mammalia; Carnivora; Ursidae.